RNAcentral lists this ribosomal RNA (414 nucleotides) under uncultured bacterium. RNAcentral describes it as "bacterial SSU rRNA". It matches the Rfam family "Bacterial small subunit ribosomal RNA", at positions 29 to 453 of the family's 1533-position model. The record is from RNAcentral.
AAUGAACGUUGGCAGCGUGGAUUAGGCAUGCAAGUCGAGCGACAAGGUGUGAAGUGCUUGCACGGAUCACUGGAGGAGCGGCAAACGGGGUAGUAACGCGUCGGAACGCACCCCUCAGUCCGGGAUAGCUGCGGGAAACUGCAAGUAAUACCGGAUAAUCUCUAGCGAGCAAAGGUCCGCCGCUGGGGGAACGGCCGACGUGAGACUAGGUAGUUGGUGGGGUAAUGGCCUACCAAGCCGAAGAUCUCUAGGGGGUGUGAGAGCAUGGCCCCACACUGGGACUGAGACACUGCCCAGACACCUACGGGUGGCUGCAGUCGAGAAUCUUGUCAAUGGGCGAAAGCCUGAACAAGCGACGCUGCGUGCGGGAUGAAGGCCCUUGGGUUGUAACCGCUGUCAGGGGGAGCAAAGCUU